RNAcentral lists this long non-coding RNA (609 nucleotides) under Mus pahari (shrew mouse). Its description in RNAcentral is "lncRNA (MGP_PahariEiJ_G0006401.1)". The record is from RNAcentral. Lineage: Eukaryota; Metazoa; Chordata; Mammalia; Rodentia; Muridae.
CUCGUUCUUAGACGACCAGACAGUGGACCUAAGUCUGGGUGAGCCUUAGGCAGCUGCACCAUUCGCCCUUUGUCCCUCAUCUGAACUCCUGCCACCGUUGCAACAACCACUCGGAUGAACCACUUGGGGACCGAGUGGUCAGGCAGGUCUCGCCUUUGUGAAACAGAGGAGGAGAACGCGCGCCUGGAGAACUUGGUGCCCAUCUUCCGCUGGUGACUUUCCAGACUCCCGGCUCUGCGCACGAUGGCUCCACGGACGCCCUGCUAACGGAGAAAUGCUGAGAAAGCCGACCUUUGGACAGACACUGCGCCGUUUCUUACACAUUUGUCACCUGUUUGCCUCCGGGAUGACCUGCUUGAACUUACUUUCCCUGAGAAUCCCAGGAAGGGGACAGUCGGGCGGGAAGUGACCGACCAAAGGUGGCAGUGACAUUUCUUCGGUUUCCAGUGUGAAUUACAGAAAACAGCAGCAGUUGCGUGAGUAGCCAUGAUUCUAUUGUCAGAUGGCAGGUUAGCUACAGGUGAUUUAAGGUAUUCAAAAGGAAAUGUAUAAGCUCUGUGGAAAAACUCCACCACUCCACACAAAGGCUUGAGCACCCCCGGACUGGGA